RNAcentral lists this long non-coding RNA (3261 nucleotides) under Citrus maxima (pomelo). Its description in RNAcentral is "long non-coding RNA (CMAX_LNC000828)". The record is from RNAcentral. Lineage: Eukaryota; Viridiplantae; Streptophyta; Magnoliopsida; Sapindales; Rutaceae.
UCAUAAUUUAGUUAAUUAAUUAGAUUGUUAAAAUGAAUAUUACAAUUAAAAAUUCACUGACAAAGAAAAUGAAAUAAAUAACACUGAAUAAUUAUCGAUAAUUGUCAACAAACAUAAUUUAUCCAAAUACAAGUGACAAGUCCAAAAUAAAUAGAAAGUAUUGUAACAACAUAAAAUCCAAAUUUCAGCAACAUGUAGAAGACUAGCAGUUUAGAGACUAAUGAACCACGAUCAGUUCAUUUCCAGCAACACAGCGAAGCCAACAACGCUAAUCAGACCAAAAAAAAAAAAAAAAUUCAUUCUAGCAGUUUUAGUGAAGCAUACAACAAAUACCAAUCUAAGAAAAAGCUAAACGUGCAAAGAUGCACCAAUACCUAGGACAUGUUUUUGCAUCAAAGAAAAAAGAUGGCCAACUCCAACAAUACCCACCAUCUUCAUCAAAUUCCAACAUAGCAAGUGUAACAAGCUAAGUAACUGCACAAGUAAAAUAUAAUUUCAUCAAAUUCAAAGUCCGUGACAACGCAUAUAGAUUAUAAUAGUAGGCAAUAGAAUAAUAGCUAGCUGAUGAUAGAAUGGAAAUUUUUUGAAAUUCAUCAAAUUUGAUCUCAGCUAACAAAUUACCUAGGUGGCUAAUGGCUUCCCCUUUCAGGCCAAUGUAGUAGUGUAUCUAAGUUGUGUCACCCCUUAAAAUUGUUAGGGAAGUGUAUUGUGUAAAAUAGCUUUUGCAGCAUAUUUGAAUCAUAUCUUCAAAAAUCCUACAUCCUCAAUAGAACUUCAAAAGAUAAAAAGGCAUAAUCAAUCAACUCAACAAAAAUGUUUAUCUAAUUGUAAUGUGAAAAAGUCGUGCCAAUAAAUCAAAAGCAAAUCAAUAUUACAAGUAGAACUCAAUGAACAUAAUUUUAAUUCAAAAUGGAGACAUAGAACUAGAUUUCAAGUACAAAAGUCUAUGGUGCAAGGAUGAGGACUUUUACGAAGUCGACCAAACUUUCAAUGAAUGAUUCAAGGGAAUCAGUAACGAAUAGAUUCUGUGCAGCAAUAAAUAUUUUUCGAUCACAUACAUGCCAUCCACAUUUCAAACACACUUCUUGGAAACAGGCCAAUGUCUAGAUAAAAGGUGAACCAUAAAAGAGUAUACAAGUGCACAAAUUACCUUAGAAGAAUUCAGACGUUACUCCCAUGCUUUAAAAACUGACUUGACACUCCUUGGAACAGUCUCCUUUAAUGCAGACACCUAAAAAAACAAUCCAAUAAAAAAGAAAAAGGAAAAAUUACUAAAAGCAAUUAAAUGAAAUGAACUGGAAAAACAAACAAGAAGAAUUUCUUUUCAAUCCUUGACAAUGAAAUGAACUAAAAAUAGAGCCAACAACAGCUCAGAAGGAAGUAGCUCCCUGUUACAAAGCAAACAGGGCAUUUAUUCACAUGAAGCAGACCUUCACUCUGGACCUGUAAACGACCAUAACCCAGCCUGUCUACUGCAAAGUACACUAAAACAUGGUGGGGAAAAUUAUCCUAAAACAACUCCCUUGCAAUUACCACAGACGUUUUUGAAGCUCACUAAUGUGAUGCGAUGGAGCUUCUUUUACGAUAUGCACAACUUUUUGGUUUGGCUUUGAGCACAAUCAAAAUCCAAAGACAUCAGUGAGUAUGCCAAACUAAGCUAAGCAGAUAAGGCCUUUGCAACAAAAAUUGUACAGUAACUAAAUGCAUACAAAAACAGAAGCAUCAAGGUCAAGCUAACCUCAGAAGUAGCAUUAUUAUCUAUUGAAGUCUUUGCUUCAACAAAUUUCCAUGAAGCAGACAUGUUACUUUUCCUCAAAGAAUUAAGUAUUAAAAGGUCCAAAUCAACUGUGCUGGCUGCGAUAACAUCAAUGACAUAAACAUUGGUUUGAAUAAUUUGCCACAUAUAUAGUUAAUAUAAUUAAUAAUAGGAAAGCAUAGUUGUUGUAAGUAAGGUAAUACAAAUAACUUGUAACUAAACUCUUCACCAACACACACUUACAACUUUUGACAGUAGAGAUUUAAAGUACUGAAGUGCCAGUCUUUCUUUCCAAUGUAAUUUUGCACUAGUCAACUAAAUUUUUAACUAUAUAAAUAAAGAGAGUAACCAGGAUCUCUUAAUCUAAAUAAUAACAAUAAGAAAAUAAAAUGUAGCAACAAGCUACUUGCUUGCUAGAACCACUUGGAAUAUCAUUUCGAUCUAGCACAAGUAACAACAAUAAUUUUCAAAUAAGUGACAAAGAUAAAUAAAUUUCGAACAAAAACUAAUGAAAAUCUAAUGCUAUAUUACACAGGCAAAGUACAAUAUUCUAGUCACUCACGGAGCUAAUAUGGUGCUUUUAGAAGCUUAGAGUUGACGCUCAGUAACCAAAAAUAAAUAAAUAAAAUAUAUAACCAAAAAGCAAAAAGCACCAAUGCUAUGAGUAAAUUAGGAUUUUAUAGAAUGCAAUAAAACUAACAAUAGGUCAAGUCUAAAAAGUAAGCAAAAAUAAUUUUCAAAAAAAACCUAAAACAACCAAAUGUGAGAUAAAAGUUAGAUUUUAAAAUAUACAAAUGAAAAUGAAUGAACUAAAUAAUUAAUUAAUCGGAGAGAAUUAACCAGUUGAAGCGGAGGUGCAAAGCCGUCGGCCAACAAAGAAGAUCAACUGCACAAGAACUAAGAAGAAAAUAAUUGGAUCCCUAAUUUGAAGACUAAACAAAAUGUCAAGGUGAUUAGCCGCACAAGAUCAAAACCGAUAUCAUUCUAUAGGUUCAGGUUUUGUUCAUUUCAGCAAACUAGUACAUUUAAGCACAUAAAUUUUUGGAAACAAAAUCCAUUUUCUAACACAGUGAACAAAUUUUAGAUAAACCUUUAGUGCUUAGAACUACACCUUUAGUGUUGAAAUUGACAAGAAAUUUUAAUUAAAUUGACAUGCAAGAGAAAAUAAGGAGAAUAAUUACUUGUGUUAAUCGAAAAUUUGAGCUUAAUCUACGAUGGGUUUUCAGUUAGGGUUUGAAAUGCAACAGUGGUAGCACAUGUUCAAUGGGUUCUUCGUGUGGAUCUCGAUGAUGGCCAAAAUCGACGACGGGUGACAAGGCAAAAUCGACGCCGGGACUUGAGACAAAAUCGACGGUGUUACUGAUGCAAGGGUUUGAGGCGAUAGGUUGUUAUGAGAGUGAGACCGUGUGAAGGUGAGAGAUGUUUGAGUUUUGGCUAAACACUUGGGAAAAAAACCGAUCUGAAGUGUUUUGUGUUUAUUCAUUUUUAUUUUCUUUUCUCUAAAC